Ailuropoda melanoleuca (giant panda) is the source of this 104-nucleotide small nuclear RNA. NCBI's taxonomy places the organism in Eukaryota, Metazoa, Chordata, Mammalia, Carnivora, Ursidae. The record is from Ensembl.
GCGCUUGCUUCGGCAGCACAUAUACUAAGACCGGACGAUACAGAGAAGAGUAGCAUGGUCCCUGCACAAGGAUGACUCGCAAAUUCGUAGUGUUCCAUAUUUUU